GAGUUCUAGAAUCACUGUGUCCCCUAAAAAUAGAAUAGGAGCCAUAUAUAUAAUUUAAAAUCUUGUGGAAAAAAAAAAUAGGAGAAAUAGUCUGUGUCUUCUACACUCCCACACAUCUGCAUUUGGGUCAGCUGCCUGGCAAGGGCUCAGCAGCCAAACACGGACAGAGAAACUCUAUGGAGCAACCCAGUUCUGCAAAGACUUAAGAGAACACGGGUGCUCCUGUCCAGUGUUCCGAUGUCGUUUUCUGUCCAGGUGGUUGAGCUCAAGGCCGCAGCUCCACGAACAGUGCUGGGUUCUGCUCUCACACAAUUUUAGCUGGAUCUGGGACUGGCAACCCCCUGCCUCAGCCUGGGUUCUCAUCCUACUGAGCCUGACCACGGGCUGCUCUGGAUCCCUGAAAUGGGCCUGGCUCACCCAGGUUCUGCAGACUGGACCUCUGACCCAAUCCUGGUGCCCACUCCCCUCCACCCCUGGGUCUGGCCGCACCUCAUCCUGCCCCCUCCAGCCUUCCCUGCCUUCUUCCUGCUCAAACUCUCACUGCACCCAGAGCUGCAGACUGGACCACAGAGCGUGCCUCUGGAACACACCAUGUUCAUCCAAAGAGAUGUUUUCUCUCCAUAUCCAUGCAACAGAGGGGAGUACUUGUAGAAUGGACUACUUUCAGCUUGACAGUGUGGACAGUGGAAGGCACAGAACAGCAUUUCUAAAGCAGUGCUUAAUAGAGUCUUGUCCCAGGAACACUGGGAGGCAGGACAGAGGGGGGCUAUUGAAAUGGGCUGCUUUCCUGCAGGAUUUGUAAGAGGCUUUCUUAUUUCACAAAAAGGAGGCUAGAGGGAGUUGCCGCACAUAUCUGAAGAUAUUUUCCAAGAGCUGUCUCACAGGAGACACCUGGGCAAUGACAAGGAUAUUCCAAAGUUGGAAAAGAGCAGGCAGAGAGGGGGAAGGGUCAGGGCACCCCUUAAUACUCCGUGGAGAGCACAUCUGGGAGCGGGGCUGCUCAGCACACAGACCUGUUUGGUUUGGCUUGACUGUCUGCCUUGGUUGCCAACAUGUAAAACUUGGGGGCCUCCCACAAAAAUUUGGAUUUCUGGCUUCUCUUCAAAAGCCGGCCAUGCUGGGUCCACGAUUCCUGAGGGUAAGUCUGGAAGAAGGGAGCAAGGCUGCUUUCGAGAGAGGACAGAGACUUCAGGGCUGCUCCCUCUCGUCGCUCACCUUCAUUCUCUGCCGGGCCCCUGUGAGCCUCUGAGUGGAAACCGUCACUUUCUACCUGCUUCUCCGUCACUCUGAGCUUGGUGGAAAAUCAUACUGGAGAUGAGGAUGUGACACCACACCGCAGUCUCGGAAUCACUCUAACUUGUCAGGGGAGUGCACUCCUGCAAAAUAAACUUCUUAGGUGUUCCCGGACUCAAUAUGGAUGUUGGAGGGGAGAUUGUCCCGUGUACAAUGGCAAGCAUUUCUCUGACUCCAGCAGGAUGUCCAAGACUUCUACUCGUUUCUCACACUAAGGACCCAGAGACACCAGCCGACCCCACAGGUGGAGGGCUCAGUCCCACCGGGCUGCCCCCCACCCCCACACUUGAGACCCCAGGCUCCUGCUUCUGACCACUGAGCACUGCAAAAUGGAGGCUCCAAUGCCCUCCUCCUUAGGUUCAAUUAAUGUGCUAGCAUGACUCACAGAAGUCCCAGAAAGGCUAAGGUUGGCCAGUUUAUUAAAGGACAUCAUAAGGGAUACGAGCCAGAAGAAGAGAUGCAUAAGGAGAGGUAGGGGGAAGGGUCUUCCAUGCUUCUCCAGGAUCAGUCUCCCCAACCUGCUGGUGCUCACCAACCCAGAAGCUCUCCAACACAGACCUUUUGGGGUUUUAUGGAGGCUUCAUUGCAUCAUCACGAUUGACUAAGUCCCUGGCCAUUGGCUGAUUUUAUCUCUAGCCCUUCUCCCCUCCCAGGAAGGUCAGGGAGUGGUGCUGAAAGUUCUACCUUUUAGUCACCUGGUUGGCUCCCUGGGUAACCAGCCCCCAUCCAAAGGUGCUUUCCAAAAGCCAUCUCGUGAACAUUACAAAAGGCCUUUAUCACUCUCAACACUCAGGAAAUUCCAUGGUUUUGGGGAGCUGGCACCAGAAACUGUGGAUGAAGACCAAUUAUUUAUGAGGUUUAUGUUUUUGUCAUUUGACCAAAUCGAUUAUUUUUUAUGAAUCGCAAUAUCGCACUAACUAUGGUCAUUCCCUAAAAAGUCCAAGGCAGAGUGUGGAUCUCACUCUGAGACAGACAGUGGGUUAGCACAGACAGGGCUGGGAGGCGCAGAGACUACCUUUAUCUUCCUUAGACCGCUGGGCUUUUGGAAGCCCAGAGAAUUCAUGGUGCCCCUUUCCUAAACUAACAGUAGUAAUUUUGACAAUGUUCCUAUCUGAUAACCAGGCAGUGCGUACUCUACUCCGCACACUGGGCAUUUAUAGGCUUAUCACACCCCUGAGAGGUAGGAGGCGUUAUCUGUGUGUGCACAAGCAGACCACAGGGCCUGUAAAGUUAUGAGGACUCGCAAAGGCCAGGCCACUACUUAGUGCUGGCCGUGGGCCGGACAGAGCCCCCUGGCUCCCCACCCUGUGACUCUCAAAUUCCAUGGCCCCCGAGAGAUGAGGGCAGAAAAACAUGCCCUACUCCCUGCUGGGAUAAAGGAUCAAGUUCCAAACACUCCAUGAUUAUCCUGGCUGUGGCCACAGGCAACAUUAACUCUCCUAUUUGGAAAGUAGUCAGCAAGAUUUUACAUCAGGGGUCAAUGCUAGCAAAGCAAAGGAUGACUAACAUGGGCAUCCCUAGGGGCCAGAAUUUAAAAUGUCUGAUUAGCCUCAGAUGUAGGGCUCAGGUGUGCAAUCUCCAUGCAAACUCACAGAACAGACCUGGAGAUUACUGUAGAAAGCGACUUUUUUUUUUUUUUUAAAUGUUUAUUGGAUGAAGAAUGAAAUACCAUAAUUUUUCUCUGCUCUCAUAGAUGCAAACAGCACAGGCUGACACACUGUGUAUGCGUGUGUGGGGGUGGGGGGAGAGAAGGAUGAGGGUGUGGGGGAGGAAGGGAGCAAUUGCUACCUUCUAAUUUCCUGUCAGAUGAAAUACAAACUUGGCCUUGAAAUGGUCCAUAAGAUUGACGAGCUAUACAGUAAAACUAUUAGAGGGUGUAAUUAACAAAUAGGCAAAUGCUCACAAUAAAUCCUGAGGUAAAAAGAAAUCAAAAUAAAUUAUUACUGACACUACAAUGACAUUAACCAGGUAAAGAUUUGUGUGUUCAUAUGGACAAAGUGGGAGCUAAACAUGAAAAAUACAAAGGCAUUCAUUUGUUUUGGUGAUCGAGUUGUGAGGUUUGGGGGAGCAUUCUCCUUUUUGUUAAUAUUUCCAUAACACUGUUUGUGUGACUGGUUCUUAAAAUUAUCUACAGGAUGAAAAAACUGAUGGGCUGCAGAGAAUUAACCUUCUUCUUAGAAGAAUGAAGAAGAGAUAACGGCAAUGGGGUGCAGGGACAAGGUCAGACAGAUAGCCAGGUCUACAGAGCAGAGAACGGGGGGCAUAUACGUAAUCCAAAGUAGGGCUGGGAGUCAGUGCGAAAAAAUAGAUUUCCUUCUCCACAUCACACCCAAAAAUAAACCCAGGUAGUUGAGAAGCCCGAAUGUGAGAAAGCAACACUAAACUUUUAUAAGAAAUUCAGAUAAUCUUUAGUCCUUCAGGGUAUGAGAAGGGUCUCUUAAAAUGCAAAGACUAUACACAUUCAGAAGAAAAGGGACAAAUUUAAGAAUAUUAAAAUCAAAAAGCAAUUUUUAUGCAACGAGAAGACAAAGUUACAUUCAAGGCACAGUCUUAAAGACUCCCUGUGCAGAGUAAAGAACUGACUGACAGAGUGAGAAGAAAUUAGAGAAUUUUUUAAAAAAAGUAACGUCCCAG
Molecule: long non-coding RNA, 3927 nt
Organism: Mustela erminea (ermine)
Lineage: Eukaryota; Metazoa; Chordata; Mammalia; Carnivora; Mustelidae
Exons: 3
Source: RefSeq, a predicted model, not a curated record